Sinocyclocheilus grahami is the source of this 368-nucleotide long non-coding RNA. RefSeq lists it as uncharacterized. NCBI's taxonomy places the organism in Eukaryota, Metazoa, Chordata, Actinopteri, Cypriniformes, Cyprinidae. The record is from RefSeq and is a predicted model, not a curated record. The transcript is spliced from 3 exons.
UGUGUGUGUGAUCUCUGCUGUUAUCGCUUGGAGAUUCAAAUCUGAGUUUGGGAUAAGAAGUGGAGCCCAUCUAAAGUCUGACUGCACAAAAUUAAGACUGGACUGUUGAUCCUGUGAACGAUGGAUGAAGAUCUGAAAAAGACGAACCCUCACAAUGGGAGCCUCUCAGGGGCUUUGGAUGCCAAAAAGCCCGAUCAGCCAAAAGCAGCAGCUCUGCAGAAGAAUGUGGGUCUCUUAAGUGGCAUCUGUCUGAUAGUGGGAACAAUGAUCGGCUCGGGGAUCUUCAUUUCUCCCAAAGCAGUUCUGGAGGGUACUGGAGCAGUGGGUCCAUGUCUGUGUGUGUGGGCGGCGUGUGGAGUGCUGGCUAC